This 216-nucleotide ribosomal RNA is filed under the name uncultured fungus. Its description in RNAcentral is "partial small subunit ribosomal RNA". The stretch from base 88 to 216 matches the Rfam family "Eukaryotic small subunit ribosomal RNA", at positions 735 to 864 of the family's 1831-position model. Lineage: Eukaryota; Fungi. The record is from RNAcentral.
GACCUGGCCGGGCGGUCCGCCUAACGGUGUGUACUGUCUGGCCGGGCCUUACCUCUUGGUGAGCCAGCAUGCCCUUCACUGGGUGUGUUGGGGAACCAGGACUUUUACCUUGAGAAAAUUAGAGUGUUCAAAGCAGGCGUGACGCCCGAAUACGUUAGCAUGGAAUAACGAAAUAGGACGCGCGGUUCUAUUUUGUUGGUUUCUAGAGUCGCCGUA